This 497-nucleotide ribosomal RNA is filed under the name uncultured bacterium. RNAcentral describes it as "partial 16S ribosomal RNA". It matches the Rfam family "Bacterial small subunit ribosomal RNA", at positions 28 to 507 of the family's 1533-position model. The record is from RNAcentral.
GAUGAACGCUGGCGGCGUGCCUAAUACAUGCAAGUCGAGCGAACGGACGAGAAGCUUGCUUCUCUGAUGUUAGCGGCGGACGGGUGAGUAACACGUGGAUAACCUACCUAUAAGACUGGGAUAACUUCGGGAAACCGUAGCUAAUACCGGAUAAUAUUUUGAACCGCAUGGUUCAAAAGUGAAAGACGGUCUUGCUGUCACUUAUAGAUGGAUCCGCGCUGCAUUAGCUAGUUGGUAAGGUAACGGCUUACCAAGGCAACGAUGCAUAGCCGACCUGAGAGGGUGGUCGGCCACACUGGAACUGAGACACGGUCCAGACUCCUACGGGAGGGAGCAGUAGGGAAUCUUGCGCAAUGGGCGAAAGCCUUACGGAGCAACGCCGAGUGAGUGAUGAAGGUCUUCGGAUCGUAAAACUCUGUUAUUAGGGAAGAACAUAUGUGUAAGUAACUGUGCACAUCUUGACGGUACCUAAUCAGAAAGCCACGGCUAACUACGUG